Molecule: ribosomal RNA, 470 nt
Filed under: uncultured organism
Description: partial 16S ribosomal RNA
Rfam family: Bacterial small subunit ribosomal RNA
Source: RNAcentral
ACUCCUGCGGGAGGCAGCAGUGGGGAAUAUUGCACAAUGGGCGCAAGCCUGAUGCAGCCAUGCCGCGUGUAUGAAGAAGGCCUUCGGGUUGUAAAGUACUUUCAGCGGGGAGGAAGGCGAUAAGGUUAAUAACCUUGUUGAUUGACGUUACCCGCAGAAGAAGCACCGGCUAACUCCGUGCCAGCAGCCGCGGUAAUACGGAGGGUGCAAGCGUUAAUCGGAAUUACUGGGCGUAAAGCGCACGCAGGCGGUCUGUCAAGUCGGAUGUGAAAUCCCCGGGCUCAACCUGGGAACUGCAUUCGAAACUGGCAGGCUAGAGUCUUGUAGAGGGGGGUAGAAUUCCGGGUGUAGCGGUGAAAUGCGUAGAGAUCUGGAGGAAUACCGGUGGCGAAGGCGGCCCCCUGGACAAAGACUGACGCUCAGGUGCGAAAGCGUGGGGAGCAAACAGGAUUAGAAACCCCGGUAGUCCC